ACAUAAACAUACAAGACGAGAAGACCCUAUGGAGCUUUAGACACUAGCCAACUGUGAUAAGCGACUGAACUGAACAAGUCCUAAAUACCCGCAGCCUUAUGGUAAUGUAGUCUUAGGUUGGGGCGACCACGGGAGAAAGUAAAGCUCCCAAGCAGACCGGGAAAACCCUUAAGCCGAGAGUUGCAACUCUAAGCCGCAAAAUUUUUGACUGAUAUGAUCCGGUUGAAAAACCGAUUAACGAACCAAGUUAC
This 251-nucleotide ribosomal RNA is filed under the name Engraulis encrasicolus (European anchovy). RNAcentral describes it as "partial 16S ribosomal RNA". The record is from RNAcentral. Lineage: Eukaryota; Metazoa; Chordata; Actinopteri; Clupeiformes; Engraulidae.